This 1006-nucleotide ribosomal RNA is filed under the name uncultured bacterium. RNAcentral describes it as "bacterial SSU rRNA". It matches the Rfam family "Bacterial small subunit ribosomal RNA", at positions 32 to 1053 of the family's 1533-position model. The record is from RNAcentral.
AACGCUGGCGGCGCGCCUAACACAUGCAAGUCGAACGAGCGAGAGAGAGCUUGCUUUCUCGAGCGAGUGGCGAACGGGUGAGUAACGCGUGAGGAACAUGCCUCAAAGAGGGGGACAACAGUUGGAAACGACUGCUAAUACCGCAUAAGCCCACGGUGCCGCAUGACACAGAGGGAAAAGGAGUAAUCCGCUUUGAGAUGGCCUCGCGUCCGAUUAGCUAGUUGGUGAGGUAACGGCCCACCAAGGCGACGAUCGGUAGCCGGACUGAGAGGUUGAACGGCCACAUUGGGACUGAGACACGGCCCAGACUCCUACGGGAGGCAGCAGUGGGGAAUAUUGCACAAUGGGGGAAACCCUGAUGCAGCGACGCCGCGUGGAGGAAGAAGGUCUUCGGAUUGUAGACUCCUGUUGUUGGGGAAGAUAAUGACGGUACCCAACAAGGAAGUGACGGCUAACUACGUGCCAGCAGCCGCGGUAAAACGUAGGUCACAAGCGUUGUCCGGAAUUACUGGGUGUAAAGGGAGCGCAGGCGGUAAGACAAGUUGGAAGUGAAAUCUAUGGGCUCAACCCAUAAACUGCUUUAAAACUGUUUUUCUUGAGUAGUGCAGAGGUAGGCGGAAUUCCCGGUGUAGCGGUGGAAUGCGUAGAUAUCGGGAGGAACACCAGUGGCGAAGGCGGCCUACUGGGCACCAACUGACGCUGAGGCUCGAAAGUGUGGGUAGCAAACAGGAUUAGAUACCCUGGUAGUCCACACCGUAAACGAUGAUUACUAGGUGUUGGAGGAUUGACCCCUUCAGUGCCGCAGUUAACACAAUAAGUAAUCCACCUGGGGAGUACGACCGCAAGGUUGAAACUCAAAGGAAUUGACGGGGGGCCCGCACAAGCAGUGGAGUAUGUGGUUUAAUUCGACGCAACGCGAAGAACCUUACCGAGUCUUGACAUCCCUUGACGAUUCUGGAAACAGCAUUUCUCUUCGGAGCAAGGAGACAGGUGGUGCAUGGUUGUC